UUAAUUACUGGGUAAGGAAGAAACCAGGAUCACAAAGGCAGUGUUCCCACAGCAAGCCUUAACGAUGGCUUUUUCAGGUAUGCUGAUCUCUGUGAUUCCCUGAAAUGUGGCAAACUCACCUGCACAUUUGUGAUAAUUGGCAGUGACAUCUGUGCCCUCCCAA
RNAcentral lists this small nuclear RNA (163 nucleotides) under Meriones unguiculatus (Mongolian gerbil). RNAcentral describes it as "U1 spliceosomal RNA (ENSMUGG00000019003.1)". It matches the Rfam family "U1 spliceosomal RNA". From Rfam's summary of the family: U1 is a small nuclear RNA (snRNA) component of the spliceosome (involved in pre-mRNA splicing). Its 5' end forms complementary base pairs with the 5' splice junction, thus defining the 5' donor site of an intron. The record is from RNAcentral. Lineage: Eukaryota; Metazoa; Chordata; Mammalia; Rodentia; Muridae.